Pseudopodoces humilis (Tibetan ground-tit) is the source of this 7031-nucleotide non-coding RNA. Lineage: Eukaryota; Metazoa; Chordata; Aves; Passeriformes; Paridae. The record is from RefSeq and is a predicted model, not a curated record.
UCGGCCGAGUACAUGCGGGCACUUCACUUGCAGCCAUGCCUGUCCCGGGAGCUUUCUGGCUGUUCUAAUUUUCUCCCUUUGAUCUCCCUGGAUCCUCUUUCGGGCUGUAGAGCUCCGCUUGCACCUACCUGCCUGCUGCGUGUGUGCGAGAGAGAGAGUUUGCUUCUUUUUUUUAAUACUUUUUUACGGUUACAAAUUCCAAUUUUUAUUUUUUUUUUUUUUUUUUUAAGACCGAGCCCAAACAUCCUCAGAGCCACAUGGUUUUGUUAAGCUACUGGAAGUAACUUUUGCCUGGGAUUUACAGCAGCAUUCCCUCCCGGCCCGGCCCCUGCGGACUCCAGCAGGCUUGCUGCCUAACAGUUAUGAAGACUCCUCGAUGCGUUUCAUGUGACCUUUGGGCAGACCGUGGAGCUUUCUAUUUUAUUUUGUGGGGCCUUGAGUCGGGAUCCUCGUAAGGCGUGCUUGGAAGUGGUCAUACCGGAACUCGGGCGCGCACAGAAAUAGUGCCAGAGAAACCAGAUACGCCGUAACUUUCUGCCUGAUACCUGUUGGGCUUCGUGUCUAAACUUCGGCAGUGUUUGGGGGCCUUUUUAUUUCUUGGGAACUUCCAGCCGUGAAGAGGAGCUCUCUGUUUUAUUAAUUACCUUCGAGAACUCUACCCGGAGUCAGACUGUGAGCAUGGGCUUCUAAGGGAAAAGUAAAGCUCGUCUCCAAACUUGAAUGAAGCGCUUCUGGCAUGUGGGAGAUGGAAGGGAUCAACUCCAUUUGGAAGGGAACGGUACUGGAGCGAGCCUUCUUGUCACCAUAAAUUCAAGGAAUGCCGCCUGCCUAAUUUCUGGGAAGGAUACCAAUCGCUGCGCAUAACAUUCAGCUUAUGCUGUGGGAAUGCUGGCAAGAAGGUGAGGUGUCUCUCGAGGGUAUUUGGGAUGGAUAUUUUGGACCUGUGGAUCUUCCUAACUCUUGGCCAGGAGACAGGAGGCCUCCACAUCCGCGGGGAGACCUCCGUGUGCCUCAUCUCCGUGGGACCGAGGAGUUCCUAAUGCUCCCUGUGCACCCGAACUGACUCCUCGCUUACAACCUGUUUCCUUGAUCCUUCUGGAUUUAUCUGCCGGAGGAGAGACUCACAAUUUAGGAUACUGGGCUGGUUUUUUGGUUUAUUUUAGUUAGUUUGUUUAAAAUAUGCCUGUGAGCUCGCGGCGGCCUCUGAGCACGUGGCACGGGGCGAGCGGAGCGCGGAUGGCGAGAGCCGGGGAGCCGCGGUGAGCGAGCCCCGCUGUGAGCGGAGCGCCGGGAGCGCCGGGCCCGCCGCGCUGAGGACGCGUUCCCGAGCGGUAUGAGCGGCCCGAGCCCGCUGCUGGUAGCAUGAGUGCUGGCCCCCAGGUGCAGCUGGCUGUCCUCUGGCCUUGGCUGCUCAUGGCGACCCUGCAGGCAGGACUGGGCCACACCGGGCUGGCGCUGGCGGCGGCCGUGGAGUCGGAGCGGGCGGCGGCGCAGAAAGCCAUCAUCAGGGUCAUCCCGCUCAAGGUGGAGCCCAUCAUCCUGGAAGGGGAGUUCGCCAGCGUCGCCGAGGUGACUCCGGCCGAAGGGAAACUGCUCCAGUCCCACCCACUAUCCCUGUGCAACACCAGCGAGGAUGAACACACGGAAUCAGGAUUCAUCACCAUCGUCAAGCUGGAACAGCCAGAUCGAGAUCCCAACCCCUGCCUGUCCCUGGCCAACAAGGCAAAGCUGGCAGGGGAGCGUGGAGCCCGUGCGAUCCUUUUCGACAUCACCGAUGAUGAAAGUGCUGCUGAUCAGCUGAGGAAGCCCAGAGGCCUGAGCCAGCCCGUGGUCCUGAUCAGGGGCCACGAUGCUGAGCUCCUCAUGGGCGUCGUGAACAAGAACAGAGAGGCCCACGUGAAGAUAGAGGUCAAGGAGCCACCAGCUUGGCCAGACUACGACGUGUGGAUUCUUCUCACAGUGGUCAGCACUGUGGUCGUCAUCAUUUUGAUUUUUGUUGUCCGCACAAAGUGCCAACUGAACAGGACUCAGGACUCGGUGCAGCAGCAGACCCUGCAGGCCAUCGGGCAAUUGGCCACGCGCCGCUACCAGCCCCGGGCGCGGCCGGCCCCGCGCUGGGACUCGGCCAGCAGCUGCAGCUCUGCCCCGGUCUGUGCCAUCUGCCUCGAGGAGUUCAGCGAGGGGCAGGAACUGCGGAUCAUCUCGUGCUCUCACGAGUUCCAUCGGGAAUGUGUUGACCCUUGGCUGCAGCAACAUCACACGUGUCCACUUUGCAUGUUCAAUAUUCUUGCCAGAGACUCGGGGGACCAGGCCAUGGCUGCCAGCUCCAGGCUGGUCCCUCAGGACAUGGAGCCUGGGCGGCGACUCCACCUUUUCCGCCAGCAUCCAGGACAUGCCCUUUACCACCUCCCACACGCGUAUCCUCAGAGGAACCUCAGGAGCUUGCCCCCAGAGCCAGCCCACAGCAACCCCUUCUUCCACUCUCCAGAGCUCUCCCAGCUGGAUUUUGGCACCAUCCACUACAUGCCCUACAGACCGGCCACCUCCCUGCUGGCCUGUGGCCAUGUGGCCUCGCUGGCCCCAGGCUCACUGGGGCAGCAGCUCCCCAACCCCUGUGCAUGCGGGCAGGCGCUGGCACCCCACAGGACGUGUCCCGUGCAGCCUCAGCCCCCCUGCGUGCCGCCCAAGGCAGCCCUGGCACAGAAGCAGCACCGCGCGCCCGCCCUGCGCCGGGGGCUUGGCCACGGGCAGCAGCACAACAGCAGCGGCUCUGGGGAGAGCUAUCUCACGGAGCACAGCGGCUACCUGGCCGACGGGCCGGGCAGCGACUCCAGCUCAGGGCCCUGCCACGGCUCCUCCAGUGACUCCAUGUUGAACUGCACAGACGUCAGCCUGCAGGGUAUCCACGGCAGCUGCUCCACCUUCCGCAGCUCCCUCAGCAGCGACUACGAUCCGUUCGUGUACUGCAGCUCUGAGGGCCCCGCCACCGACCACGGCCAGGAGCAGCUGCGGCCACCCAGGGAGAGCCGGCCCCGGUCCUUGGACCUCAUGGUGCCCAGGGGGGCUGCUCCAGCCAAGCCCCAGGUGCUCAGCCACAUCCACUACCACCACCACCAGCACCACCACUACAGGCGGGACGCCGAGUGUCCCCCUGGGCGAGCCGGCCAGGGGCCGGGGCCACGCAGAUCCCGCUACUCCGGGGCCAAGGUUGCUUUCCACAGUGGUCGUACACAAAAGAGGACUGAGAAAAGCCAUCACUCUCAGCAGCCUCUGGAAAGCGGUGCCAUGCUGCAGGAGGCAGCUCCAGCAGGACAGCCAGCCUGUCCCCAGGAAGGCUGGGACCCCCCUCACGCCCCCUCCACUUCUCCAAACAGGUUGGACGUCAGUGUAGAUGCCAACAGACAAUCGGGAGCAGCUGGCACACCCCCUGUCCCGCUGGCCCCCAGACACAGCUUACAGAGCAGGCAUCACCGAAGGAAAAGAAAGUGUCCCCUGGUGCCCGACCCUGCUCUCCUGCCCAAGGACUCAGCCAAGCCCAGAGCCUGCGACACUCACCUUCCUCCCGGCCAUCCCUACCGCUGCUGUCCCGAAGCCCAGCCCCUGAUCCCAAGCGCUCCCAUGCCCGGCGGCUCCCGGCCGCUCUGGAAGUGUUUAGUGCCACAGCCCAGCUCCGAGCUGAGGAAGCAGGAGGGGUUGUCAGGACAGGAGAAAAACCGCUCGGUUCCUGCAGAUUUCUCAGGGAUGGGCACCUCCAGACACGGUCUGAGUGUCCACCUUCACUGCCCAUCUCAGAAGGGUGGUCAGGGUAAGUCUGGCCUUCGCCUCUCCUGGUAGCGAGCAGGUGAAUGAGGGAGGUGGUUUGCUGAAGGAACUCCAGCUGCCAGGACACCUGGUACCUUCUUGAUGGGUUUUCCUACAGGAGCACUGACUGCAGGAGCAUUCCAGAGCUCACCUGUGAGGAUGAUGGCCUGAAUGAUGAGCAAGUGUGUUAAAGAGUUCACCAAACCCUGAAAUGCUGCAACUGAGAAAUAAGGUGGCUAAUUUUAAUUAAACAUCUCUAGCAGCUGAAAUAUCUGCCAAAGGAAGGCAUGGGAGCGCAUUUUUCAGUGUCCUCGCACCAGCCUGGGUGUCUUACUGGCAGAGUCGUUACCACUAAGGCUUUCUGGGCUCCAGUUGUUUGAGCCAAGCCCAGGAUCUGAAGAGGAGGUUCAGGAAGUCCAUGAACACUCAGUUUAAUAAAACACUGGCCUGUUUGCUCGCUGGGAGCUGGAGUGGACACAGAUGUUGAUGGAGCUGCUCACAUCUGGCUCUGCCUAGCCUGCCCUGCUGAGACACGGACUGCCAAGAGCAACGGGCCGCUCGUGGUCUCCUGACACGUCCCCACGCCCUGACGGUCACAAUUAGAGCCCUGCUCUCCAGGCCCCAUCUCCUCUGAAGGCACAGGCAGCCCCUCAUCAUCCCAUGGCAUCGCUCCAGGCCGGGCAGGGCUCCCAGGGAGAGCUCACCGAGUGAGUGCAAGCUGCUAUUUUGGUGUGUUUAUGCCACAGAAGGUUUAGCUAAACACUGCAAAAAUAAACAAGCCUUCGAGACCAAAAGCUGCAGAAAUUACUUUCUGUGGCCUGGUAGCUCCUGACUUCAUUUCCUCACUUAGGUCAAAAGCCAGAUUUCUUCAAUUAACUUUUCCAUGCUUAUUUCAGACACAGGAACAAGCUAUUCUCCAUCUCACCGUUCACAGGGCUGCCCUGCAAGGUGCUGCUUCUGACUUCAGUGAAAAACCAAGAGCUCUCACCACUUUUGGUCACCCCAAUGUCCCUCAGCUGACGCCAUCUCAGCCACUGGCUGUGUUUGCCAGCAACAGGAGAGGGGAAGACGCAGGGACGUCAGCAUUUCUGGGAAUGAGCUGGGUCAGACUCUUUCCAUUGCAAAGAAUCCACCCUCUCAUCUGGCAAUGUGAACAAGUUUCUCACUCACCCUCUAACUCCUCCACCUACCCUCAAAUAGCUCUCAUGGCCAGCCCUGCUAAGAGCAUAUUUCAAACACAUCUCAGAUGUCCCUGUAACAGGAGUCAUGGAAAAUCCUGGAGUUCACAUGGCUCCUGCUUCUCUUUCCUCUCAUUGCCCCAAGACGCAGCAAAAAUUCCCAGCAAAAGCCUCCGUAACAAACACAGAACAGAGCCUUACCCAUCACCCAGGCUUACCUUCGUAUUCUGAGACUCCUGAAAUCCUUCAAAAGGAUUUUUCUAUCUUUUCCAACAUUCUGAUGAUUCAGGGAGAAAACUUGAGAAAUCAGGCUCUGGUUUAUUGCUUUUCUCCUCUCCCCACCAUUUAUGAGUAUUUUGGGUUUUUCUGAAUGUCACUAGUUCUUAUUUCCUGCAUCUCAUAAUUUGCAGACAUUCAAGCAAAAUAAAAGCUGCCAAAUUCAAAACAAGUAGAACCUAUGCAGCUUUCAAACAGCAGAAAAUUCCUGUCAAUUCCAUUGCCCUAAAUGAACAGUCAGGCCAGAGAAUCAGCCAGAUUCCCCUGUGCACAUUUCUGUGGCACCAGCUGCUUCCAAGCACAAGGAAGCUUUGGUGAGGUUACAGCACUGGAGCUGAAGCUGACUCCAACAAUGUGAAACUUGAUGUAGGGACAGACUUUCCCAUCUGCUCAGUAAAGUUUCCUGUGUCUUCCUUUGAAGCAGCUGCUUCUCAAGAGACCACAGUGGUGAUGCAGUCCCAGUUCAGCAUAGUCCUCUGUCUUCCUUUGUUGGUGGGAAAGCUUUUUACAGGGUUUGCUGCCCUUAAUCCUCGAAAAAGGCAUCUUUGCUAAUGCUGCUAAUCAGUCCCUGAUAGUCAAGUGAUCAAUCAAUAGCACUGUUUUAAAGCCAACAUUGGUCCCUUGUGCUCAUUCCUUGUCUCCUGUGACCAGCCCCCUGUGGGACCUUUCAGUCUAGGGAAGAGCAGAGUUAGAUUUAGACCUUGCCAGGCUCUUGCUUGUCCUACAGUGCAAGCAGAAGACACAAGCUCAGAAGUUUUCUCCUGUGCAGGGAAGUCAGUCUUAAACUAGAGGAAAAAGCCAGGAGCAGGUCUGGCUUCACCCCGUUCAGCUUUUCGUGCUCCUGGUCCGUGGCUUGUCUGAACCAGCUCCCUGGGUCCUUCACCAUCCUGGAGGGCGCAGAGGCUUAACAGAGGGGAUGGUCAUGAAGUCAGGGUGCUCCUACUGCUUUUUUUAGGAUUCAGGAAGGCAGAGAGCCUCUAGGGAUGCAUUUCACUGCUCAAAUGAACAAGUGCAACUCUGAAGUCUUUUCUUUCCCUCCUUAUCCCUAACAAGAGAGGAGAUCCCUGAAUUUGUGAGCCACAAGCUUCUUUGGGAAAGUGGUCAGCAAAACAAGCUCAUGCACCCUCUCCACUCCCAUCUGCAGUAUUACCAGGCUGCCAGGGCAGCACGUGCUUCCAAGUGUGUCCCUUUCCUGACCUUAGGCUGCUGCUCCUGUUCACGUAGAAAAUGCUGGAGUGCAGCUCUGCCUCGGUGGAGGCUCAGGGGAGGAGAGGGAGGAACUCUCUGGGAACUUGGGUUUGAAAGGAUCCUCUUCAGUAGAUGGAUGGCUAUCCUUGGCUGCCUGGAAAGGAAUCAGUAUCAGAAAAUAGGGAAUGGUUCCUCACAGUUCUUCACCUCUGGCUUCGGAGUGAUGCUUUUUGAGCGUUCAGUGCCUGUGGGCUCCACCAUGGAAUUUCUCCAGCAUCCCUGCAGUGAGACAGAGCUCAUUUUCCUUCUUUGCAUCCAAAGUCACAGCUGAAAACUGAUGCAAGCCAGAGCUUCCCAAGCUCCCUCUAUCCAAACUGAAGGUCCAGCCGUUCCCAGGAGCUCCCACCACCUGAACUGGGCAUAUGGUCAGGCUGGCUGGAUGUCUCCCUUCCUGCACAAAUCCCUCAGAUCCUUUGGAAAUGUGAAUAUCACUUCAUUUUGUUGUUGCUUUUUGUUUCCUUUGGUUUUCUUGCUGAGUCUGGCCUGGCUCUCAGGGCUUGGGAAGAAAUUAAGACCCGGGGUGGGGGA